CAUAAUUGAAAUUAUCUCCCUUACACUGCUUUUAAAUUAUGUAUAAAGUAAUGGUUAAUGAACAAUAAAGAUAAUUUAAAACAGUGUAAGGGAGGUAAUCCAAAUACAAUGUUUUGGUUACUUCCCUUACACUGCUUUUAAAUUAUGUUUAAAGAAAUGCAUAUUUAUAAAGGAAGACCAGUAUGGCGCAUUAGAUUUGUAAAAUCUAUGACCACAUUUAUUUGUUAUGCCGAAUCUAACCGUGUAUUUAGAUUUUUAAUUUUGGGUCCAGUUUUCAAAUUGGUCUACAUUAAGGUCCAAAGGGUCCAAAAUUAAACUUUGUUUGAUUUUAACAAAAAUUGAAUAUAUGGGGUUCUUUUAUAUGCUGAAUCUAAACAUGUAUUUAGAUUUUAGAUUUUUGGCCCAGUUUUCAAGUUGGUCCAAAUUGGGGUCCAAAAUUAAACUUUGUUUGAUUUCAACAAAAAUUGAAUAUAUGGGGUUCUUUGAUAUGCUGAAUCUUACCAUGUAUUUAGAUUUUUUAUUUGUGGGCCCGCUAUCAAAUUGGUUCAUAUUGAGGUCAAAAGGGUCCAAAAUUAAACUUUGUUUGAUUUCAUCAAAAAUUUAAUUAUUUGGGUUCUUUGAUAUGCCAAAUCUAACCGUGUAUUUAGAUUUUUAAUUUUGGGUCCCGUUUUUAUACGACCGCAAAAAAAAUUUUGUGGUCGUAUAUUGGUACGACGUCGUCGUCGUCGUCUGGCGUCGUCCGAAGACACAUUGGUUUUCGCACUCUAACUUUAGUUUAAGUGAAUGGAUCUCUAUGAAAUUUUACCACAAGGUUCAAAACCACAAAAGGAAGGUUGGGAUUGAUUUUGGGGUUUAUGGUACCAACAGUAAAGGAAUUAGGGGCCAAAAAGGGGCCAAAAAUAAGCAUUUUUGUAACUUCCAGACAUAACUUGUGUGUUAGUGUAUGGAUCUCUCUGACAUUGUACCACAAGGUUCCAUAUCACAAAAGGAAUGCUGGGAUUGAUUUUGGGGGUAAUUGCCUCAAAAUUUUAGGAAUUAGGGGCCAAAAAAGGGGCAAAAAACAAGCAUUUUUCUAGUUUCAUGACAAUAACUUGUGUGUAAGUGUAUGGAACUUUCUGAAAUUGUACUACAAGGUUCCAUAUCACAAAGGGAAAGCUGGAAUUGAGUUUGGGGGUAAUUGCCGAAACGUUUAGGAAUUGGGGGCCAAAAAGGGGCCAAAAAUAAGCAUUUUUCUAGUUUCCAGACAAUAACUUGUGUUCAAGUGUAUGGAUCUCUCUGAAAUUGUACUGCAAGGUACCAUACCACAAAGGGAAGGCUGGGAUUGAUGAUGGGGGUAAUUGCCUCAAUAUUUUAGGAAUUAGGGGCCAAAAAGGGGCAAAAAACAAGCAUUUUUCUAGUUUCAGGACAAUAACUUGUGUGUAAGUGUAUGGAUCUCUCUGAAAUUGUACUAAAAUUGAGAAUGGAAAUGGGGAAUGUGUCAAAGAGACAACAACCCGACCACAGAACAGACAACAGCAGAAGGCCACCAACAGGUCUUCAAUGCAGCGAGAAAUUCCCGCACCCGGAGGCGUCCUUCAGCUGGCCCCUAAACAAAUAUAUAUACUCGUUCAGUGAUAAUGAACGCCAUACUAAACUCCAAAUUGUACACAAGAAACUAAAAUUAAAAAUAAUACAAGACUAACAAAGGCUAGAGGCUCCUGACUUGGGACAGGCGCAAAAAUGCGGCGGGGUUAAACAUGUUUAUGAGAUCUCAACCCUCCCCCUAUACCUCUAGCCAAUGUAGAAAAGUAAACGCAUAACAAUACGCACAUUAAAAUUCAGUUCAAGAGAAGUCCGAGUCUGAUGUCAGAAGAUGUAACCAAAGAAAAUAAACAAAAUGACAAUAAUACAUAAAUAACAACAGACUACUAGCAGUUAACUGACAUGCCAGCUCCAGACUUCAAUUAAACUGAUUGAAAGAUUAUGUCUUCAUCAUAUGAAUAUCAGGGUUCCAUAUCACAACGGGAAAGCUGGGUUUGAGUUUGGGGGUAAUUGCCCUAAACGUUUAGGAAUUUGGGGCCAAAAAGGGGCCAAAAAACACAUUUUUCUAGUUUCCUGACAAUAACUUGUGUUCAAGUGUAUGGAUCUCUCUGAAAUUGUACUGCAAGGUACCAUACCACAAAGGGAAGGCUGGGAUUGAGUUUGGGGGUGAUGAAUCAUAAGGGGGUUCAAAAAAUUUGGGGGGGGAUUUUUUUUUUUUCCUUUUUUUUCUUUUUUUCCUUUUUUUUUUCUUUUAAAAUUUUCCAUUUUAAGUUGGUUAUUUCUGAUUUAUAUUUAAAAGCAAAUAAUAAUGAUAUGGGAGGAGAUACACACAAAACAGGAUGUGUAAAUUAUUAUAUAAUAAGUAUUGUGCAAUAGCAAGAAAUUUUCAAUUGCACAGUAUUGCACAAUAGCAAGAAAUCUUCAAUUGCACAGUAUUGCGCAAUAGCAAGAAAUCUUCAAUUGCACAGUAUUGCCCAAUAGCAAGAAAUAUCCAAUAGCACAAUAUUGCGCAAUAGCAAGAAAUUGUCAAUUGUACAGUAUUGCGCAAUAGCAAGAAAUAUUUAAUUGCACAGUAUUGUGCAAAAGAAGAUACUUCGUAUAAAUUGCUUAGUUCUUGACCAAUUUCAAUGGGGUUUUAUUCUUGGAAUUCUUGGGGUUCUUUAAUAUGCUGAAUCUAACCGUGUAUUUAGUUUUUGGAUUUUGGGCCCCGUUUUAAAAUUGGUCCACAUUGAGGUCCAAAGGGUCCAAAAUUAAACUUUGUUUGAUUUCAUCAAAAAUUGAAUUAUUGGGGUUCUUUGAUAUGCUGAAUCUAACCAUGUAUUUAGAUUCUUUGUUUUUGGUUCGGUUUUCAAAUUGAUCUACAUUAAGGUCCAAAGGGUCCAAAAUUAAACUUAGUUUGAUUUUAACAAAAGUUGAAUUCUUAGGGUUCUUUGAUAUGCUGAAUCUUAACAUGUAUUUAGAUUUUUGAUUAUGGGCCCAGUUUUCAAGUUGGUCCAAAUCGGGGUCCAAAAUUUAACUUUGUUUGAUUUCAACAAAAAUUGAAUAUAUGGGGUUCUUUGAUAUGCUGAAUCUAACCAUGUAUUUAGAUUUUUGAUUUUUGGGCCCCGUUAUCAACUUUGUCCACAUUGAGGUCAAAAGGGUCCAAAUUAAACUUUGUUUGAUUUCAUCAAAAAUUGAAUUAUUGGGGUUCUUUGAUAUGCCAAAUCUAACCGUGUUUUUAGAUUUUUAAUUUUGGGUCCCGUUUUUUAAAUUGGUCUACAUUAAGGUCCAAAGGGUCCAAAAUUAAACUUAGUUUGAUUUUAACAAAAAUUGAAUUCUUGGGGUUCUUUGAUAUGCUGAUUCUAAACAUGUGUUUAGAUUUUUGAUUAUGGGCCCAGUUUUCAAGUUGGUCCAAGUUGGGGUCCAAAAUUAAACUUUGUUUGAUUUCAACAAAAAUUGAACAUAUGAGGUUCUUUGAUAUGCUGAAUCUUACCAUGUAUUUAGAUGUUUUAUUUGUGGGCCCCGCUAUCAAAUUGGUUCAUAUUGAGGUCAAAAGGGUCCAAAAUUAAACUUUGUUUGAUUUCAUCAAAAAUUGAAUUAUUGGGGUUCUUUGAUAUGCCAAAUCUAACCGUGUUUUUAGAUUUUUAAUUUGGGUCCCGUUUUUUAAAUUGGUCUUCAUUGAGGUCCAAAGGGUCCAAAAUUAAACUUAGUUUGAUUUUAACAAAAAUUGAAUUCUUGGGGUUCUUUGAUAUGCUGAUUCUAAACAUGUGUUUAGAUUUUUUAUUAUGGGCCCAGUUUUCAAGUUGGUCCAAGUUGGGGUCCAAAAUUAAACUUUGUUUGAUUUCACCAAAAAUUGAAUAUAUGGGGUUCUUUGAUAUGCUGAAUCUAACCAUGAAUUUAGAUUUUUUAUUUGUGGGCCCCGCUAUCAAAUUGGUUUAUAUUGAGGUCAAAAGGGUCCAAAAUUAAACUUUGUUUGAUUUCAUCAAAAAUUGAAUUAUUGGGGUUCUUUGAUAUUCCAAAUCUAACCGUGUAUUUAGAUUUUUAAUAUUAAGUCCCGUUUUUUAAAUUGGUCUACAUUAAGGUCCAAAGGGUCCAAAAUUAAACUUAGUUUGAUUUUAGCAAAAAUUGAAUUCUUGUGGUUCUUUGAUAUGCUGAAUAUAAACAUGUGUUUAGAUUUUUGAUUAUGGGCCCAGUUUUCAAGUUUGUCCAAGUUGGGGUCCAAAAUUAAACUUUGUUUGAUUUUAACAAAAAUUGAAUAUAUGGGGUUCUUUGAUAUGCUGAAUCUAACCAUGUAUUUUGAUUUUGGACAUUGGACCAUAAUAGGUAAAUUAAAAAAAUUCAAGUUCUUAGACCACAUUCUUUCUGUGUCAGAAACCUAUGCUGUGUCAAAUAUUUAAUCACAAUCCAAAUUCAGAGCUGUAUCAAGCUUCAAUGUUGUGUCCAUACUUGCCCCAACUGUUCAGGGUUCGACGUCUGCGGUCGUAUCAAGCUGCGCCCCAGCGAAGCAUUUUAUUUGUUAUUA
Molecule: long non-coding RNA, 4522 nt
Organism: Mytilus californianus (California mussel)
Lineage: Eukaryota; Metazoa; Mollusca; Bivalvia; Mytilida; Mytilidae
Exons: 3
Source: RefSeq, a predicted model, not a curated record